This 2823-nucleotide ribosomal RNA is filed under the name Escherichia coli. RNAcentral describes it as "bacterial LSU rRNA". It matches the Rfam family "Bacterial large subunit ribosomal RNA". The record is from RNAcentral. Lineage: Bacteria; Pseudomonadati; Pseudomonadota; Gammaproteobacteria; Enterobacterales; Enterobacteriaceae.
UUAAGCGACUAAGCGUACACGGUGGAUGCCCUGGCAGUCAGAGGCGAUGAAGGACGUGCUAAUCUGCGAUAAGCGUCGGUAAGGUGAUAUGAACCGUUAUAACCGGCGAUUUCCGAAUGGGGAAACCCAGUGUGUUUCGACACACUAUCAUUAACUGAAUCCAUAGGUUAAUGAGGCGAACCGGGGGAACUGAAACAUCUAAGUACCCCGAGGAAAAGAAAUCAACCGAGAUUCCCCCAGUAGCGGCGAGCGAACGGGGAGCAGCCCAGAGCCUGAAUCAGUGUGUGUGUUAGUGGAAGCGUCUGGAAAGGCGCGCGAUACAGGGUGACAGCCCCGUACACAAAAAUGCACAUGCUGUGAGCUCGAUGAGUAGGGCGGGACACGUGGUAUCCUGUCUGAAUAUGGGGGGACCAUCCUCCAAGGCUAAAUACUCCUGACUGACCGAUAGUGAACCAGUACCGUGAGGGAAAGGCGAAAAGAACCCCGGCGAGGGGAGUGAAAAAGAACCUGAAACCGUGUACGUACAAGCAGUGGGAGCACGCUUAGGCGUGUGACUGCGUACCUUUUGUAUAAUGGGUCAGCGACUUAUAUUCUGUAGCAAGGUUAACCGAAUAGGGGAGCCGAAGGGAAACCGAGUCUUAACUGGGCGUUAAGUUGCAGGGUAUAGACCCGAAACCCGGUGAUCUAGCCAUGGGCAGGUUGAAGGUUGGGUAACACUAACUGGAGGACCGAACCGACUAAUGUUGAAAAAUUAGCGGAUGACUUGUGGCUGGGGGUGAAAGGCCAAUCAAACCGGGAGAUAGCUGGUUCUCCCCGAAAGCUAUUUAGGUAGCGCCUCGUGAAUUCAUCUCCGGGGGUAGAGCACUGUUUCGGCAAGGGGGUCAUCCCGACUUACCAACCCGAUGCAAACUGCGAAUACCGGAGAAUGUUAUCACGGGAGACACACGGCGGGUGCUAACGUCCGUCGUGAAGAGGGAAACAACCCAGACCGCCAGCUAAGGUCCCAAAGUCAUGGUUAAGUGGGAAACGAUGUGGGAAGGCCCAGACAGCCAGGAUGUUGGCUUAGAAGCAGCCAUCAUUUAAAGAAAGCGUAAUAGCUCACUGGUCGAGUCGGCCUGCGCGGAAGAUGUAACGGGGCUAAACCAUGCACCGAAGCUGCGGCAGCGACGCUUAUGCGUUGUUGGGUAGGGGAGCGUUCUGUAAGCCUGUGAAGGUGUGCUGUGAGGCAUGCUGGAGGUAUCAGAAGUGCGAAUGCUGACAUAAGUAACGAUAAAGCGGGUGAAAAGCCCGCUCGCCGGAAGACCAAGGGUUCCUGUCCAACGUUAAUCGGGGCAGGGUGAGUCGACCCCUAAGGCGAGGCCGAAAGGCGUAGUCGAUGGGAAACAGGUUAAUAUUCCUGUACUUGGUGUUACUGCGAAGGGGGGACGGAGAAGGCUAUGUUGGCCGGGCGACGGUUGUCCCGGUUUAAGCGUGUAGGCUGGUUUUCCAGGCAAAUCCGGAAAAUCAAGGCUGAGGCGUGAUGACGAGGCACUACGGUGCUGAAGCAACAAAUGCCCUGCUUCCAGGAAAAGCCUCUAAGCAUCAGGUAACAUCAAAUCGUACCCCAAACCGACACAGGUGGUCAGGUAGAGAAUACCAAGGCGCUUGAGAGAACUCGGGUGAAGGAACUAGGCAAAAUGGUGCCGUAACUUCGGGAGAAGGCACGCUGAUAUGUAGGUGAAGUCCCUCGCGGAUGGAGCUGAAAUCAGUCGAAGAUACCAGCUGGCUGCAACUGUUUAUUAAAAACACAGCACUGUGCAAACACGAAAGUGGACGUAUACGGUGUGACGCCUGCCCGGUGCCGGAAGGUUAAUUGAUGGGGUCAGCGCAAGCGAAGCUCUUGAUCGAAGCCCCGGUAAACGGCGGCCGUAACUAUAACGGUCCUAAGGUAGCGAAAUUCCUUGUCGGGUAAGUUCCGACCUGCACGAAUGGCGUAAUGAUGGCCAGGCUGUCUCCACCCGAGACUCAGUGAAAUUGAACUCGCUGUGAAGAUGCAGUGUACCCGCGGCAAGACGGAAAGACCCCGUGAACCUUUACUAUAGCUUGACACUGAACAUUGAGCCUUGAUGUGUAGGAUAGGUGGGAGGCUUNAUCCGGGUUGCGGACAGUGUCUGGUGGGUAGUUUGACUGGGGCGGUCUCCUCCUAAAGAGUAACGGAGGAGCACGAAGGUUGGCUAAUCCUGGUCGGACAUCAGGAGGUUAGUGCAAUGGCAUAAGCCAGCUUGACUGCGAGCGUGACGGCGCGAGCAGGUGCGAAAGCAGGUCAUAGUGAUCCGGUGGUUCUGAAUGGAAGGGCCAUCGCUCAACGGAUAAAAGGUACUCCGGGGAUAACAGGCUGAUACCGCCCAAGAGUUCAUAUCGACGGCGGUGUUUGGCACCUCGAUGUCGGCUCAUCACAUCCUGGGGCUGAAGUAGGUCCCAAGGGUAUGGCUGUUCGCCAUUUAAAGUGGUACGCGAGCUGGGUUUAGAACGUCGUGAGACAGUUCGGUCCCUAUCUGCCGUGGGCGCUGGAGAACUGAGGGGGGCUGCUCCUAGUACGAGAGGACCGGAGUGGACGCAUCACUGGUGUUCGGGUUGUCAUGCCAAUGGCACUGCCCGGUAGCUAAAUGCGGAAGAGAUAAGUGCUGAAAGCAUCUAAGCACGAAACUUGCCCCGAGAUGAGUUCUCCCUGACUCCUUGAGAGUCCUGAAGGAACGUUGAAGACGACGACGUUGAUAGGCCGGAUGUGUAAGCGCAGCGAUGCGUUGAGCUAACCGGUACUAAUGAACCGUGAGACUUAACCUU